This 322-nucleotide long non-coding RNA is filed under the name Mus musculus (house mouse). Its description in RNAcentral is "lincRNA-EC38". Lineage: Eukaryota; Metazoa; Chordata; Mammalia; Rodentia; Muridae. The record is from RNAcentral.
GGCUUCCGGCUCCGGCUUGGAGCUGGGUGUUCAGAAAGUGGGUGUACUGCGUUAGCGUUUAGGUGGGUUGUUUAGAUGGCGCCAGCCUCAGCGUCUCCAGUCAGUUCUUUUAGUCACACAUUCAUUCCGCUGCCAACAGUCAAACUCGACGUCGAGCGAUUAAAUCCCUGGCAUCGCCCUGUGUAGCCUUGCAUCUGUUCGAUCAGCCAUUCCGGCUACUGUUCCACCGCCAGUCUGACUUAAACAGAAGCCGUCGGGCUUAGUCAGCGAUACCACUUUAAGAAAAUUCCAAGGAAAAGGCUGCCCCUGAUCUAAAAUUCCC